AGCUCCAAUAGCGUAUAUUAAAGUUGUUGCAGUUAAAAAGCUCGUAGUUGGAUUUCUGAUGAGGAUGGCGGUCCGUGUAUAUUAAUACAUGUGUACCGUUCAAUUUAAAAAUUUUCAUCAUAUUUGUAUUUAUAUGGUUUACUAUAUGGAUACAUCAUUUACUGUGAACAAAUUAGAGUGUUUAAAGCAGGCAAUCGCUUGAAUACUUCAGCAUGGAAUAAUAAGAUAGGACUUGGGUGCUAUUUUGUUGGUUGCGUACCGAAGUAAUGAUUAAUAGGGAUAGUUGGGGGUAUUCAUAUUUCAUUGUCAGAGGUGAAAUUCUUGGAUUUAUGAAAGAUGAACAACUGCGAAAGCAUUUACCAAGGAUGUUUUCAUUA
This 377-nucleotide ribosomal RNA is filed under the name Nerada sp. RNAcentral's name for it is "partial small subunit ribosomal RNA". It matches the Rfam family "Eukaryotic small subunit ribosomal RNA", at positions 587 to 975 of the family's 1831-position model. The record is from RNAcentral. Lineage: Eukaryota; Bigyra; Bicosoecida; Siluaniidae.